UAACGCGUGAGGAACCUGCCUUGGAGAGGGGAAGUAACACUCCGAAAGGAGUGCUAAUACCGCAUGAUGCAGUUGGGUCGCAUGGCUCUGACUGCCAAAGAUUUAUCGCUCUGAGAUGGCCUCGCGUCUGAUUAGCUAGUAGGCGGGGUAACGGCCCACCUAGGCGACGAUCAGUAGCCGGACUGAGAGGUUGACCGGCCACAUUGGGACUGAGACACGGCCCAAACUCCUACGGGAGGCAGCAUG
Molecule: ribosomal RNA, 246 nt
Filed under: uncultured bacterium
Lineage: Bacteria
Description: partial 16S ribosomal RNA
Rfam family: Bacterial small subunit ribosomal RNA
Source: RNAcentral